UACGAAGGGUGCAAACGUUGCUCGGAAUUAUUGGGCGUAAAGCGCACGUAGGCGGCUUUGCAAGUCCCAUGUGAAAUCCCACGGCUCAACCGUGGAAGUGCAUGGGAAACUGCAGAGCUUGAGUACUUAAGAGGAUCGCGGAAUUCCCGGUGUAGAGGUGAAAUUCGUAGAUAUCGGGAGGAACACCAGUGGCGAAGGCGGCGAUCUGGGAAGAUACUGACGCUGAGGUGCGAAAGCGUGGGGAGCGAACAGG
RNAcentral lists this ribosomal RNA (253 nucleotides) under uncultured bacterium. RNAcentral's name for it is "partial 16S ribosomal RNA". It matches the Rfam family "Bacterial small subunit ribosomal RNA", at positions 524 to 776 of the family's 1533-position model. The record is from RNAcentral.